AUGGAGCCGGCAACAGGGAUCAUGGGAAAAACAACGGUGGCUGAACAGUGGACACCCGAAGCUGGCCGAGAAAGAGGGAGGCAGUGCGGGGCGGAAGAGGGCGUCCAUGUGGUAUCCGUUUCUGCUCAUCUUCAGCUUGCAGGUGAGCGGUUUACUGAAAUUGUAGCCAGUCCAUACUACAUGCUCCCAGAGGCAUUAAAGCACAACUAUUGUUCUGAAAUCGUUGUCUGGAUUGUAGGGGUUAUACUUUACAUACUUCCCUGUGGUGUGCAAACAUUUCUGGAAGGUGCUUACUUUCCUUGA
Molecule: ribosomal RNA, 303 nt
Filed under: Triticum aestivum (bread wheat)
Lineage: Eukaryota; Viridiplantae; Streptophyta; Magnoliopsida; Poales; Poaceae
Description: partial small subunit ribosomal RNA
Source: RNAcentral